GAUGAACGCUGGCGGCGUGCCUAAUACAUGCAAGUAGAACGCUGAAGGAAGGCUCUUGCUCUUUCCUGAUGAGUUGCGCACGUGUGAGUAACGCGUAGGUAACCUGCCUGGUAGCGGGGUAUAACUAUUGGAAACGAUAUCUAAUACCGCAUAACAGUCUAUUUUGCAUGAUAUCUUCUUAAAAUUUGCAAUUUCACCACUACCAGAUGGACCUUCGUUGUAUUAGCUAGUUGGUGAGGUAACGGCUCACCAAGGCGACGAUACAUAGCCGACCUGAGAGGAUGGUCAGCCAGACUGGGAGUGAGACACGGCACAGACUGAUACGGGAGGGAGCAGUAGGGAAUCUUGGGGAAGGGGCGGAAGUCAGAGCGAGAAACGCCGAGGGAGGGAAGAAGGUUGUCGGAUCGGAAAGCUCGGUUGUAAGAGAAGAACGAGUGUGAGAGUGGAAAGUUCACACUGUGACGGUAACUUACAAGAAAGGGACGGCUAACUACGUG
Molecule: ribosomal RNA, 497 nt
Filed under: uncultured bacterium
Lineage: Bacteria
Description: partial 16S ribosomal RNA
Rfam family: Bacterial small subunit ribosomal RNA
Source: RNAcentral